AUUUGCAGCUAUUUGGGAAGCUGAGGCAGGAGAAUAGCUUGAACCUAGGAGGCGGAGGCUGCAGUGAGUUGAGAUUACACUACUGCACUCCAGCCCAGGUGACAGAGCGAGACUCUGUCUUAAAAAAGAAAAAAAUUAGAGUCCAGAAUUUUCUCCAGAUGCUUUCAAAAAGCUAGACAUUCUGUAUACAUAAAUGACUAAAAAGUUUAUAGAUGUAGAAAAAUUAAUACAGGUUUUACAUGUGCAUUUAGUAAAUUCAGAAUUUGAAUUUUUCUUUUUAUUUGCAGCUCAGAUCGUCUGAUAGAAGAGACAAUAAGCAUUGCUAUGGCAACAAAAGAAAAUAUGACUUCACAGAGAGGAAUGUUGAAGUCAAUUCACAGCAAAAUGAACACUUUGGCCAAUCGUUUUCCUGCUGUAAACAGCCUGAUCCAGAGGAUCAACCUGAGGAAGCGGCGGGACUCGCUCAUCCUAGGGGGUGUUAUUGGGAUCUGUACCAUCCUGUUGCUGCUGUAUGCGUUCCAUUGAUGGGACAUCUUCAGGGACUCUUGACAACCACCGCUUUCACACCCUGGUCUGGAAUAAGGAAACGUCGGAGGGAGAAGUUGACUGUCUUGAUAAUUAGCCUGACCAGCAGGAUGAAUGCAAGACUGACAGUGAUGGACUCUGUGACAUGGUCAGGUUGAGCUGAAGCCACAGUUUCUCUGUGCUGUGUUUUCUAACACAUUUUUCUGUUUUUAAUU
Molecule: small RNA, 740 nt
Filed under: Pan troglodytes (chimpanzee)
Lineage: Eukaryota; Metazoa; Chordata; Mammalia; Primates; Hominidae
Description: retained intron
Source: RNAcentral